RNAcentral lists this ribosomal RNA (397 nucleotides) under uncultured bacterium. Its description in RNAcentral is "partial 16S ribosomal RNA". It matches the Rfam family "Bacterial small subunit ribosomal RNA", at positions 360 to 774 of the family's 1533-position model. The record is from RNAcentral.
AAUAUUGCACAAUGGGGGAAACCCUGAUGCAGCGACGCCGCGUGAGCGAAGAAGGCCUUCGGGUCGUAAAGCUCUGUCCUAAGGGAAGAAACGGACGGUACCUUAGGAGGAAGCCCCGGCUAACUACGUGCCAGCAGCCGCGGUAAUAAGUAGGGGGCGAGCGUUAUCCGGAAUUACUGGGCGUAAAGGGUAUGUAGGCGGCUAUAUAAGUCAGGUGUGAAAUACCAGUGCUUAACACUGGAAUUGCAUUUGAAACUGGAAGGCUUGAGUAUCGGAGAGGGUAGUGGAAUUCCCAGUGUAGCGGUGGAAUGCGUAGAUAUUGGGAGGAACACCAGUGGCGAAGGCGACUACCUGGACGAAAACUGACGCUGAGGCACGAAAGCUAGGGGAGCAAACA